GUGCUUGCUUCGGCAGCACAUAUACUAAAAUUGAAACGAUAUGUUAAAGAUGAGCAUGGCCCUUGCAUAAGGAUGACACACAAAUUUGUGAAGUGUCCCUUAUUUCU
Canis lupus familiaris (dog) is the source of this 107-nucleotide non-coding RNA. NCBI's taxonomy places the organism in Eukaryota, Metazoa, Chordata, Mammalia, Carnivora, Canidae. The record is from Rfam.